UGGUGCACGGAGGCGUUCUGUAGCCUUGCAGAAAUUUGAAACAAAAUCACAAUACAAAUUAGAGGGCGCAGUGACGGUGCUAACCAAAGCAGAUUGAACGUACUAGUAAUAAUGCUGAACAUAUUCAGAGAGCCUUGUGUGAUGGUAGAAGGGGGUAUUUAACACAGUUAAGAAGACAUAUAUUCCAAUACGGCUGAAAAAAGGAAUGGGUUGUGGGGGUAGCAGGUCUGAUGCCAUUGAACCGAGAUACUAUGAAAGCUGGACCAGAGACACGGAAUCUACAUGGCUUACAAAUACAGAUACAGAGAACCCAUUGCCGGGCAUCGCCAGCAAUACUAGUGUGUUUCCAGAAAACGCCGUCUCCACCAGUAAGAAGGAAAAUGGGGCAGUUAACACAGGGAAGGGAGCAGAAGGCAAGGGAACCCAAACCUGUGUCACUGUGUCUUCAAGCGUAACAAACAAAGAAAAGAAGACAGUAAAUGCAGGUACUCAGUGUGGUAAACAUGCAACUACUUCUGCUACAACUACACAGAAAAGGAGGACUGUUCUUCAGACUGAGGAACUACCAAAUGGAAAUAAAGAAAAAUGUCCACCAAGGAAGUCGGCAUCGACGUUAAGAAAAGCAUCCAGUGGGCUGAAACAGGCGGACGUGUUCAAGAGGCCGGUAUCAAGUAAACCAGGAAAGGGCUCCUGCACACAAGCAGAGGGGUACAGUCUUUGAUAAACAUACUGAGGAUUAGUCUUGACAUGGCUGGGGUUCUCUGAACAGCAUCCACUUCUCUACUCGCUGACUCUAAAGAAAGGACUCACCAGAGCACCUUAACCAGGCCCGUCAUUGAAGAAUGGGAAUGAUGAGGACAUUAAGAUGCCUUGCUGGAGCAGAGGGUCGCUGCAAAGUGCCUUGAAAGUUAAACUGCUGUGUGGGCUGACAUGGGAACCAUCUCUUUUUUGGAAGUGCUAAAUAUCUGAAAGCCAUUAGUAUUUCAACUACAUUAGAGUCUAAUUAGAAAUUUUUUCUCUACCGUAAGAUUGUAUGGAAAUUGAAUUAUUUUAGGUACCAUUCCGUUUACCUGUCCAACAUUAUGAAAGAACUGUGUAAAAGGCCUUAUACUAUAGCAUAGAGACCACCUGCCUUGUGGAAGAUGGUAUGUUGGUUCCAUGUUUACAACCACCAUUUCUCUGCCAUGUAUAGCAUACAGCAGAUUUGACUUUCUGUGGCAUGACAAAAGCAGCCAACAUAAAGAAAGGCUGUUUCUUUCUAUUUUAUUUUAAGGAUGAAUGCGUAUGCACCAACAAUGCAGUAACAAUAGGUGGCAAAUUGUUAGAAUAACAUGGUGUGCAACCUAAUCUGCAUACAUAAUGACAAAGUAAAUCAUAACGGUCAUCCAUAAUAAAGUCCUUCACCUGGGUGUGAUUAAUUGGAAAAUUGGACAAUCAAUAUAUAGAUGCAAUGUCUAUUGUCAAGCCUAAAAAGCUUUGUUCCUCUGUUGCUUGUUGAUUAUUUUCUUUCCUGCUGAAUGUUAUUCUACUAAUAAGUUUAAAUUUAAACUUGUAUUACAUGAUGGUCUCAUAUAUACAAUAGAUAUACCAUUCAGAAUUGCAUUUUGGUCAUUUGAAAUGUUCAUUACCAUUUUUUAUGCAUGUGACUCUCCUGAAAUCAGUUGUCUGAACAACUCUGGGCUUUGUUCACAACUGAAUUAUUGAGAAUUACUGGAGCACACAAGUUGUUAGGCUGUUAUCAAUGAAAAGAAAAAUGACAGGUACAUUAUUUAAAGUUGUAGCAACACGUGGGGAAGUGUAACGCUAUAUUUUUUCGGAUCCCCGCUUCUUACUGUUUAAGUGCCCUGAUUUGCUUGUUGUUCAGUGAGGACAGUAGUGACAUAACGUGCUUAGGCGACACGUACAAUGCCUUGUCAAGUUGCAUUGCUCAGCAUUGAAAUCAGCACCUUGAGGUUAUUCACGACAAAGCAACCCUCAACCCUAUGCAGUGUUCCUGUACUGAGGGGUACUUGCAACAGUUUUGUGGAACUUACUGUGGGGCAAGUACUGAAGGCUUCAGUUGUUUAAAAUGCUGACGACUUCUUAUUGAAAUGUUUGUCUAAUUUUACAGUACACAUUUCUUGUUAGUACUAAUGAAGCUUUCCUAAUACAUUACAUUGUUUGUAUCACUUUGUGCAAGGUAUCCUUUUUUUAAAAUGCAGGACCAUCAUACACUUGUAGGUAAAAAUUGAAGAAAAAUAUUCUUUGACAAAGGAACCUCAAAAAAUACAAGUCUGAUUUUAGACUUUGAAACAGACCAGAAGAGAUCAAUUCCAGUUGCAAACCUCAAAAUCUUCAAACAUUAAAAGAUUUAAACCAUAGAAAAAGAUACAUGAUUCUUGUUCUGCAGUAUGUAUACUACAUUUGUCAAUGUUUAUUCAACAGGCUUACAAGAUAUGGUAAUAACUCACUUACAGUAAUGCAUGUAUUUUUGAGGAGAAAAAUUCUUAAUUGAAACAUCAUGAAACAGGUUCAUUGUGCAAUGGGUUGCACAGGCUUUGUGACUUCAAAUAAUAAUCUUUAUUUUUAUAUAGCACCUUUUCAUAGUAGACCACAGUCACAAAGUGCUUUACAAGAUAUGGAACUAGGGUGUGUGAAGCAUGCAUCAGCUGCAGAGUCAUUUACAACAAUGUCCUGCCCCAAAGACGGAGCAGAAGGAGGUAAAAUGACUUGUUUAGCGUCACACAAUGAGUCAGUAGCUGAGCUGGGAUUUGAACUGGGUACCUGCUGGUUAUAAGCCCAUUUCUUUAAACACUGGACCACACAGCCAAAUAUGGUCUGGGUAUAGAGAUCCAAGCUAAGGAAAAUCACUGCAAAUGAAACUCAUAAAUCAUAAAGAAGCGCACCUUUUCUUCACUGAGUACCAGUAUCUCCGUCCCACUUAACCACAAAGUGUCGUCAGCUCUAUUGGUCAAAGUACUAAUAAACUGAAAGUGUGAAAUCUAUUGUAUAAUUAACAUUGUGUUUGUGGUGUGCCAAUGAAGAACCCCAGUCAAAUACAUACUCUAAAAAAUCAGUGAUUUAAAAUUUUGCAAGCCUAUGAAAAUGAAGCAAGAUCUUAUCAAGAACGUACUUUAAGCAAAAUUUGUUAAUCCUGUAGGUUGAUGCAAAACAUUUUGCCAUAACUGUAUAUUUAAUCAUUUUAGACAUAUAAGCCAGACACACUGACAAAACUCAAUUUUGUGGGGUUUGGACGUCAAAGCAGACAGCUCUAUAAAUACGAUAAAGAUAAAAGUGAUGAUUAAAUUGCAACAUUGUAAUAGUGCCUGGUUCAUUGUUGAAUGUGUUACAUGGAUGGCAUCAGUGUGCAGUAUAUACUAUGGUGUUAUUAUUAGUAUUACUACAGUUGAAGUGAUACAUAGAAUUUAUUUCAAACAGGGAAUACUUACUUCUCCAUACAGUAUUAGCUAGUAGUAUCUUUAUUUAAAUAUUUUUGGGUGUGUGAGAGUUUUUAUGACAUGUAUUACUGUUUAUAAGGCAUCAUACAUUUUCCAUGAAGAAAAGAUGGAAUUCACUUUGGCUUUUCAAUUAAUUUAUAAGAUGGCCUAUUGAUUGCUGCAGCUUUGUAUAUUGAUUGAGGCUAUAUUUUCUAACUUAAAACAUGAAAAUUAUACAUAAAGGACAGUAUAGAAAACACAGUGUUUUGUAAAGAUUUCUCUAAUCAAUUGAACUUAUCAGUGCAAGUAUUAACAAGUUUUUGUUAAACUAAUAAAAAUUUAGAAAUUCUUGAUGUUC
Molecule: long non-coding RNA, 3774 nt
Organism: Polyodon spathula (Mississippi paddlefish)
Lineage: Eukaryota; Metazoa; Chordata; Actinopteri; Acipenseriformes; Polyodontidae
Exons: 3
Source: RefSeq, a predicted model, not a curated record